This is a long non-coding RNA of Onychomys torridus (southern grasshopper mouse), 1589 nucleotides long. RefSeq lists it as uncharacterized. The record is from RefSeq and is a predicted model, not a curated record. Lineage: Eukaryota; Metazoa; Chordata; Mammalia; Rodentia; Cricetidae. The transcript has 3 exons.
GACGUCCCACGCGCUGACAGCCGGGUACCGCCCGCGCCCGCGGCGGCUCGUCCCGACCGAGGCCCCGCGCGUACCCGGCCGGCCCUCCACCCGCGGUCGCUGCCCACGCGCGCCCUCCACCUCACCGCCCUGACUCCCCCCUCACGACUCGGCAGCGGUGGACGAGGAUACGAACCGGGCACCGUGGAGCACGCGCGCCGUCUGCCUCGGGUGGCGGCCGCACCCCUCCGUGCGCUUCCUUCCCUCAGCACCGCGCAGCUCCCCGGCGCGCGGCAGCUCGGCCCAGGCCGGCCCACUCCGCGCCCCUGCCUCGCCCUGCCGCCACCCUGCCCCGCCCCCGCGUGCGCUCGUGCGCUUCCCGCCUUCCGAUUGGCUGCGCGAUGGCGACUGGGCGGGACCGGCGAGCUAGGCCCGGGCCAGAGGGGCGGGGGCGGAAGAGGGCGCGCUCCCUGCCAGUUUUGUGACGUCAUGGGGGUCAGACAAUCCCUUCCAUUUGGCACGGCCUGCCUAUUGGCUCCACGCGUGCGCGCGCUCGCGUGACCACGCCCUGUUGCUGGUGAAGGUGGGUCUGCGCGCGCCGCCGCCCCGAUGAUGGACAGCUUGGAGGGGGUUGGCCUGGGGCUCAUCCACGAGGAAGCACCUGGGCAGGCCUCCAGCGUCUCCGUGCGCUCUCCUCGGGAGCCGCUUGCUUCCCCCGCGGGCGGGCUUCCGCGAAUGCCUGGCACCUCUGCGGGGCCCGCGUGGCGCGCUAGACUGGCCUGAGGACCAGGCCUUCUCGGGGAAGCGACUCACCCCAGUGAAAACCUCAACUCCCCGGCCUGUUAAGUGAGGCGUGGCAGAGAAUCUCGGAUGAGGCUUAUGGACAGAGAAGAUGAAGAAGGUGGGUUAGAAUAGAACAGGUACCACAGGUAACUCUCCCAACCAAGAACAAGAUCUGUGUGAGCCCUUAUUUCCAGCUCUUUGGAUAAGAGGCCAAGAACCUUGAAACAACUGACUGCUGCUACCAAUAAGAACUGUAAAUAAUGAGAUUCCAGAAUUUACAGCUCCAUUGAACAAGACCUUGAAAGUUGUUGCAUUGACUAAUUUUCUCAUAACACAAUGCUGUCAGUGUCACAUAAAAUUUCUUUUUCAAACUGAUUUUCAUAUCUGCAUGGGAAAUUCUAACUUGUUUUACUAUAUCCAACAUUUCAGUUUUAUACCAGGAUGGUAUUGAUUUUUGCAUCUUGUUCUUCAGCCAAUGACUUGGCUAUAUUUAAAAUUAAUGCUGAUUCUUAAAAAUAAAAAAAGUUAUUUGCCACCACUAAAUAUAGUCAAAAGAAUUUGUCAUCAAGAUUGAAUGCCAAGAUAUUUCUGGAAUUGGAAUAAAGCCUCCACAGAGUGAUGACUUUGAAAUAAUCUCAGAGGUGUAAGUUCUAUUCUAGUUACAUGAUUGAGUGACAUGCACAUUGUAACACACCAGUCUACAGCGGUUCCAAUGCCUCUGUACUGGAUGAGGUUCUCUGCCUUGAUUCUCUUCUGGCAUGCUCUUAACUCUCUUUCUGGAUGGAGGCUGCCCAAUUGGGCUUCCUUCAGUAGUGCUAUUUGUUAUU